This 585-nucleotide ribosomal RNA is filed under the name Aspergillus niger. RNAcentral's name for it is "partial large subunit ribosomal RNA". It matches the Rfam family "Eukaryotic large subunit ribosomal RNA", at positions 54 to 654 of the family's 3401-position model. The record is from RNAcentral. Lineage: Eukaryota; Fungi; Ascomycota; Eurotiomycetes; Eurotiales; Aspergillaceae.
AGGAAAAGAAACCAACCGGGAUUGCCUCAGUAACGGCGAGUGAAGCGGCAAGAGCUCAAAUUUGAAAGCUGGCUCCUUCGGAGUCCGCAUUGUAAUUUGCAGAGGAUGCUUUGGGUGCGGCCCCCGUCUAAGUGCCCUGGAACGGGCCGUCAGAGAGGGUGAGAAUCCCGUCUUGGGCGGGGUGUCCGUGCCCGUGUAAAGCUCCUUCGACGAGUCGAGUUGUUUGGGAAUGCAGCUCUAAAUGGGUGGUAAAUUUCAUCUAAAGCUAAAUACUGGCCGGAGACCGAUAGCGCACAAGUAGAGUGAUCGAAAGAUGAAAAGCACUUUGAAAAGAGAGUUAAACAGCACGUGAAAUUGUUGAAAGGGAAGCGCUUGCGACCAGACUCGCCCGCGGGGUUCAGCCGGCAUUCGUGCCGGUGUACUUCCCCGUGGGCGGGCCAGCGUCGGUUUGGGCGGCCGGUCAAAGGCCCCUGGAAUGUAGUGCCCUCCGGGGCACCUUAUAGCCAGGGGUGCAAUGCGGCCAGCCUGGACCGAGGAACGCGCUUCGGCACGGACGCUGGCAUAAUGGUCGUAAACGACCCGUCU